Molecule: long non-coding RNA, 386 nt
Filed under: Homo sapiens (human)
Lineage: Eukaryota; Metazoa; Chordata; Mammalia; Primates; Hominidae
Description: HSALNT0073255
Source: RNAcentral
AUUUUUCUAACCACCAUCGAUUUUUCAUUUUCAGUGUAUACAUCUUCAUUUUUGCAACUUUUGCAAUUUUUUCCCCCUCCCCCUUAAGUUUACAUUUUAAAAAGCUUAUCUGUGGUUUUCUUGGUAAGACCUACAUAUACCCAAGGUGGAAAGUAAACAUUUGUUUUAAGGAAGUCCUGUCAUAGUGUGCUCAAGAUAGUUCCUCUGCCCUUACCUUCCCUGUGAAGCAGAAGGAAGAAAUUUUCUGAUUAGCAAGAUUUGGAGUGUGAACAUAGAAGAUACCUAUCUGAAAGCUUCUCUAGCAGUUUACAAUUCUAUGAUAUCAUUAGUUAUUUCCUAGAUUAUCAUGUAAUCUGAGAAGAAAAUUUGAAAAUGGGAUAAUACAG